AACGAACGCUGGCGGCAUGCCUAACACAUGCAAGUCGAACGAUCCCUUCGGGGAUAGUGGCGCACGGGUGCGUAACGCGUGGGAACCUGCCCUUAGGUUCGGAAUAACUCAGAGAAAUUUGAGCUAAUACCGGAUAAUGUCUUCGGACCAAAGAUUUAUCGCCUUUGGAUGGGCCCGCGUUGGAUUAGCUAGUUGGUGGGGUAAAGGCCUACCAAGGCGACGAUCCGUAGCUGGUCUGAGAGGAUGAUCAGCCACACUGGGACUGAGACACGGUCCAGACGCCUACGGGAGGCAGCAGUGGGGAAUAUGGGCCAAUGGGCGCAAGCCUGAUCGAGCCAGACCGCGUGGGUGAAGAAGGCCUUCGGGUUGUAAAGCCAUUUUGUUGGGAAAGAAAAGCAGCAGGUUAAUACCCCGCUGUUCUGACGGUACCCAAAGAAUAAGCACCGGCUAACUUCGUG
This 458-nucleotide ribosomal RNA is filed under the name uncultured bacterium. Its description in RNAcentral is "partial 16S ribosomal RNA". It matches the Rfam family "Bacterial small subunit ribosomal RNA", at positions 29 to 507 of the family's 1533-position model. The record is from RNAcentral.